Small nucleolar RNA from Drosophila melanogaster (fruit fly), 152 nucleotides. Lineage: Eukaryota; Metazoa; Arthropoda; Insecta; Diptera; Drosophilidae. The record is from Ensembl.
ACACAGUACCCUGACACCUAACUGUUAGAGCGUCGAUAGAGUUUGGCAGUUAGCUUAUUAAACGCUGUGAGAUCAACUGACGAUGGCCUUCGCUAUGUUAUGCGUAUGUAAGAUAAUCCCAGUACGACGUAACACGCAGCCACGUUACAGUU